AUGCAGGCAUGAGUAGCGAAAGACGGGUGAGAAACCCGUCCGCCGGAUGACUAAGGGUUCCAGGGUCAAGCUAAUCUGCCCUGGGUAAGUCGGGACCUAAGGCGAGGCCGACAGGCGUAGUCGAUGGACAACGGGUUGAUAUUCCCGUACCAGUGAAGAACCGUCCAUGUUGAGCCGGUGAUACUAACCGCCCGAACCAUCCCGAACCCCGUCUUUGACGGGGUCGGUGAUGGGGAGCGCGGGA
Molecule: ribosomal RNA, 244 nt
Filed under: Salmonella enterica subsp. enterica serovar Typhimurium
Lineage: Bacteria; Pseudomonadati; Pseudomonadota; Gammaproteobacteria; Enterobacterales; Enterobacteriaceae
Description: partial 23S ribosomal RNA
Rfam family: Bacterial large subunit ribosomal RNA
Source: RNAcentral